AUCGCAGAGACCUUGUCAAAGACGAGAGAGACGUUGUCCAUGAUCAGAGACAUUGUCCCAUGCUUCGCAGAGCUCUGCGCAAGAAUCGGUAGAGACACUGUGGUUCCUCGAUUCGACGGCAUGACCGCGAUCAUGGAGAUAUUUGUCGAUGAUUACAGAGACACCGUCUAUGAUCUCAGAGACAUCGUCCACGAUCACAAAGACAUUGUCCAUGAUCACAGAGACUUUGUCCAUAAUCUCAGAGACAUUGUCCGCGAUCACAGAGACGUAGUCCACGAUCACAGAGUCUUCGUACAAUGAAGAAGUUCUUUGAGACCAGGACAGAGGCCUCCAGGUGUCACCACUUCAUCCACAACAUCAUCUACGAUCGCCGAGACAUGGUCCAUGGUCGGAGAGACAUUGUUGAGGAUGAGGGAGACAUCGUCCACGAUCAGAGACAUUGUCCACGAUCGCAGAGACCUUGUCAAAGACGAGAGAGACGUUGUCCAUGAUCAGAGACAUUGUCCCAUGCUUCGCAGAGCUCUGCGCAAGAAUCGGUAGAGACACUGUGGUUCCUCGAUUCGACGGCAUGACCGCGAUCAUGGAGAUAUUUGUCGAUGAUUACAGAGACACCGUCUAUGAUCUCAGAGACAUCGUCCACGAUCACAAAGACAUUGUCCAUGAUCACAGAGACUUUGUCCAUAAUCUCAGAGACAUUGUCCGCGAUCACAGAGACGUAGUCCACGAUCACAGAGUCUUCGUACAAUGAAGAAGUUCUUUGAGACCAGGACAGAGGCCUCCAGGUGUCACCACUUCAUCCACAACAUCAUCUACGAUCGCCGAGACAUGGUCCAUGGUCGGAGAGACAUUGUUGAGGAUGAGGGAGACAUCGUCCACGAUCAGAGACAUUGUCCACGAUCGCAGAGACCUUGUCAAAGACGAGAGAGACGUUGUCCAUGAUCAGAGACAUUGUCCCAUGCUUCGCAGAGCUCUGCGCAAGAAUCGGUAGAGACACUGUGGUUCCUCGAUUCGACGGCAUGACCGCGAUCAUGGAGAUAUUUGUCGAUGAUUACAGAGACACCGUCUAUGAUCUCAGAGACAUCGUCCACGAUCACAAAGACAUUGUCCAUGAUCACAGAGACUUUGUCCAUAAUCUCAGAGACUUUGUCCGCGAUCACAGAGACGUAGUCCACGAUCAAAGAGAGUCUUCGUACAAUGAAGAAGUUCUUUGAGACCAGGACAGAGGCCUCCAGGUGUCACCACUUCAUCCACAACAUCAUCUACGAUCGCCGAGACAUGGUCCAUGGUCGGAGAGACAUUGUUGAGGAUGAGGGAGACAUCGUCCACGAUCAGAGACAUUGUCCACGAUCGCAGAGACCUUGUCAAAGACGAGAGAGACGUUGUCCAUGAUCAGAGACAUUGUCCCAUGCUUCGCAGAGCUCUGCGCAAGAAUCGGUAGAGACACUGUGGUUCCUCGAUUCGACGGCAUGACCGCGAUCAUGGAGAUAUUUGUCGAUGAUUACAGAGACACCGUCUAUGAUCUCAGAGACAUCGUCCACGAUCACAAAGACAUUGUCCAUGAUCACAGAGACUUUGUCCAUAAUCUCAGAGACAUUGUCCGCGAUCACAGAGACGUAGUCCACGAUCACAGAGUCUUCGUACAAUGAAGAAGUUCUUUGAGACCAGGACAGAGGCCUCCAGGUGUCACCACUUCAUCCACAACAUCAUCUACGAUCGCCGAGACAUGGUCCAUGGUCGGAGAGACAUUGUUGAGGAUGAGGGAGACAUCGUCCACGAUCAGAGACACUGUCCACGAUCGCAGAGACCUUGUCAAAGACGAGAGAGACGUUGUCCAUGAUCAGAGACAUUGUCCCAUGCUUCGCAGAGCUCUGCGCAAGAAUCGGUAGAGACACUGUGGUUCCUCGAUUCGACGGCAUGACCGCGAUCAUGGAGAUAUUUGUCGAUGAUUACAGAGACACCGUCUAUGAUCUCAGAGACAUCGUCCACGAUCACAAAGACAUUGUCCAUGAUCACAGAGACUUUGUCCAUAAUCUCAGAGACUUUGUCCGCGAUCACAGAGACGUAGUCCACGAUCAAAGAGAGUCUUCGUACAAUGAAGAAGUUCUUUGAGACCAGGACAGAGGCCUCCAGGUGUCACCACUUCAUCCACAACAUCAUCUACGAUCGCCGAGACAUGGUCCAUGGUCGGAGAGACAUUGUUGAGGAUGAGGGAGACAUCGUCCACGAUCAGAGACAUUGUCCACGAUCGCAGAGACCUUGUCAAAGACGAGAGAGACGUUGUCCAUGAUCAGAGACAUUGUCCCAUGCUUCGCAGAGCUCUGCGCAAGAAUCGGUAGAGACACUGUGGUUCCUCGAUUCGACGGCAUGACCGCGAUCAUGGAGAUAUUUGUCGAUGAUUACAGAGACACCGUCUAUGAUCUCAGAGACAUCGUCCACGAUCACAAAGACAUUGUCCAUGAUCACAGAGACUUUGUCCAUAAUCUCAGAGACAUUGUCCGCGAUCACAGAGACGUAGUCCACGAUCACAGAGUCUUCGUACAAUGAAGAAGUUCUUUGAGACCAGGACAGAGGCCUCCAGGUGUCACCACUUCAUCCACAACAUCAUCUACGAUCGCCGAGACAUGGUCCAUGGUCGGAGAGACAUUGUUGAGGAUGAGGGAGACAUCGUCCACGAUCAGAGACACUGUCCACGAUCGCAGAGACCUUGUCAAAGACGAGAGAGACGUUGUCCAUGAUCAGAGACAUUGUCCCAUGCUUCGCAGAGCUCUGCGCAAGAAUCGGUAGAGACACUGUGGUUCCUCGAUUCGACGGCAUGACCGCGAUCAUGGAGAUAUUUGUCGAUGAUUACAGAGACACCGUCUAUGAUCUCAGAGACAUCGUCCACGAUCACAAAGACAUUGUCCAUGAUCACAGAGACUUUGUCCAUAAUCUCAGAGACUUUGUCCGCGAUCACAGAGACGUAGUCCACGAUCAAAGAGAGUCUUCGUACAAUGAAGAAGUUCUUUGAGACCAGGACAGAGGCCUCCAGGUGUCACCACUUCAUCCACGACAUCAUCUACGAUCGCCGAGACAUGGUCCAUGGUCGGAGAGACAUUGUUGAGGAUGAGGGAGACAUCGUCCACGAUCAGAGACACUGUCCACGAUCGCAGAGACCUUGUCAAAGACGAGAGAGACGUUGUCCAUGAUCAGAGACAUUGUCCCAUGCUUCGCAGAGCUCUGCGCAAGAAUCGGUAGAGACACUGUGGUUCCUCGAUUCGACGGCAUGACCGCGAUCAUGGAGAUAUUUGUCGAUGAUUACAGAGACACCGUCUAUGAUCUCAGAGACAUCGUCCACGAUCACAAAGACAUUGUCCAUGAUCAAAGAGACUUUGUCCAUAAUCUCAGAGACAUUGUCUGCGAUCACAGAGACGUAGUCCACGAUCGCAGAGACAUGGUCCACGAUUGGAGAGACAUUGUCCUUGACGAAUGGGGACUUGGUCCCAGAUUAGUCAGAGACAUUGAAGAAUUUCCUUGAGACCAGGACAGAGGCCU
Long non-coding RNA from Lates calcarifer (barramundi perch), 3531 nucleotides. RefSeq lists it as uncharacterized. Lineage: Eukaryota; Metazoa; Chordata; Actinopteri; Centropomidae. The transcript is spliced from 8 exons. The record is from RefSeq and is a predicted model, not a curated record.